This 20-nucleotide unclassified non-coding RNA is filed under the name Chlamydomonas reinhardtii. RNAcentral's name for it is "small RNA Cre_2177". The record is from RNAcentral. Lineage: Eukaryota; Viridiplantae; Chlorophyta; Chlorophyceae; Chlamydomonadales; Chlamydomonadaceae.
UACAAUAUUAGCUCCGAUAG